GCUGGGUAUGGUGGCUCAUGCCUGUAAUUCCAGCACUUUGGGAGGCCGAGGCAGGCGGAUCACGAGGUCAGGAGAUCGAGACCAUCCUGGCUAACAUGGUGAAACCCGGGGUUUCACCAUGUUAGCCAGGAUGGUCUCGAUCUCCUGACCUCGUGAUCCGCCUGCCUCGG
Non-coding RNA from Chlorocebus sabaeus (green monkey), 170 nucleotides. It matches the Rfam family "Metazoan signal recognition particle RNA". From Rfam's summary of the family: The signal recognition particle (SRP) is a universally conserved ribonucleoprotein. It is involved in the co-translational targeting of proteins to membranes. The record is from Rfam. NCBI's taxonomy places the organism in Eukaryota, Metazoa, Chordata, Mammalia, Primates, Cercopithecidae.